This 549-nucleotide ribosomal RNA is filed under the name uncultured bacterium. RNAcentral describes it as "bacterial SSU rRNA". It matches the Rfam family "Bacterial small subunit ribosomal RNA", at positions 777 to 1325 of the family's 1533-position model. The record is from RNAcentral.
AAUAGAUACCCAGGUAGUCCACGCCGUAAACGAUGAGUGCUAAGUGUUAGGGGGUUUCCGCCCCUUAGUGCUGCAGCUAACGCAUUAAGCACUCCGCCUGGGGAGUACGGUCGCAAGACUGAAACUCAAAGGAAUUGACGGGGGGCCCGCACAAGCGGUGGAGCAUGUGGUUUAAUUCGAAGCAACGCGAAGAACCUUACCAGGUCUUGACAUCCCAUUGACCACUAUGGAGACAUAGUUUUCCCUUCGGGGACAACGGUGACAGGUGGUGCAUGGUUGUCGUCAGCUCGUGUCGUGAGAUGUUGGGUUAAGUCCCGCAACGAGCGCAACCCUUGUUUUAGUUGCCAUCAUUUAGUUGGGCACUCUAAGGAGACUGCCGGUGACAAACCGGAGGAAGGUGGGGAUGACGUCAAAUCAUCAUGCCCCUUAUGACCUGGGCUACACACGUGCUGCAAUGGUCGGUACAAACGGUUGCCAACCCGCGAGGGGAGCUAAUCCGAUAAAACCGUUCUCAGUUCGGAUUGUAGGCUGCAACUCGCCUACAUGAAC